This 73-nucleotide transfer RNA is filed under the name Ursus americanus (American black bear). It matches the Rfam family "tRNA". From Rfam's summary of the family: Transfer RNA (tRNA) molecules are approximately 80 nucleotides in length. Their secondary structure includes four short double-helical elements and three loops (D, anti-codon, and T loops). Further hydrogen bonds mediate the characteristic L-shaped molecular structure. tRNAs have two regions of fundamental functional importance: the anti-codon, which is responsible for specific mRNA codon recognition, and the 3' end, to which the tRNAs corresponding amino acid is attached (by aminoacyl-tRNA synthetases). tRNAs cope with the degeneracy of the genetic code in two manners: having more than one tRNA (with a specific anti-codon) for a particular amino acid; and 'wobble' base-pairing, i.e. permitting non-standard base-pairing at the 3rd anti-codon position. The record is from Rfam by way of RNAcentral. Lineage: Eukaryota; Metazoa; Chordata; Mammalia; Carnivora; Ursidae. RNAcentral also lists the same sequence under 2 other names.
GCCUAGCUGGCUCAGCCAGUAGAGCAUGGGACUCUCGAUUUCAGGGUUGUGAGUUCAAGCUCCAUAUUGGGCA